RNAcentral lists this long non-coding RNA (11877 nucleotides) under Olea europaea subsp. europaea. Lineage: Eukaryota; Viridiplantae; Streptophyta; Magnoliopsida; Lamiales; Oleaceae. The record is from RNAcentral.
CAGAAUUCAAGAAAGACAUCCCAAUACAUACAAAACGGCAAUGGAAAAGGGAAAAUGUCUGCCUUCCUAAGUUCCCUUCCCUAAUCCCUAAUAUUUCUUUGAGUCUUUCUAGCAAUUGGAGUCAUUGGACUAUCAUCCUUCAUCCCUCCUUCGACAGUUUUUAGACCCUGCUGUUUUUAGCCUACGACCAAUUUAGUCAAGACUCGAGAGAUUUUGUGAAAGUUGCUUCCGCUUCCCAUCGUUGUCACCACUUCUAGCCAUUGCUAUCACCAUCCACCCCUAAACGGAGUGACAACUAAUAAGGUUAGUACUGUAUAGUUGGAGUUUUGAUUUUACAUCUCCGAGCGGUCAAUUAGUUAUGCUGAAUAUAUGAUUUAUCAUUUGUGAAUCAAUUUAAAUGGAAAUUGGAACUUUGCGCAUUUUUCACUUUGCUUGCCUGGGGCCAUUUUUUGAAUUGGCUAGAGCCCUUGUUUGAGUUGUCGAAAGAUUCUUGGAGCCAUUUUUCAAUGGUCAAUUUUUGAAGUGGGAAUCUCUAAUUUGUGAAUCUAUGAAGGAUAGCUUAUUUGUGAAUUGUGAUUUAUGAGAUUUAGUUUGGGAAGUGGGAACUUUAUCUAAAAUUAAAAAUUGGGGACUCAUAGAGAAUAAUUAAUUGUGAUAUGAUAUUGAAUAUUUAAAAUUUUUUGUCACUUUUUCAAGUUUGAUUGUGCCCAACUAACUCAAAAUAUCCGGGUUAGCCACUAUAUUGAUUUACCGAAUUUUACUAUGUAGUCUAAAUAUCAGAUUCACCUCUCGAUUCGUAAAAGAUUAACAAAAUCAUCAAAUUAAUAAUCAAGUAAUUCAACGUAUUAAACUCAUAGAAAAAUCAACACAUAUAUGAUAAAAUAAUCAGAAUUCCGAAUAAAUGAAAUGGUCCUAAGUAGAUUACAUUGUCUACCUAAUAUGAAAUUUAGCUACUCAUAAUGCAAAAAGAAAAACAAGAAAUUGUUAUUGAAUACAUCAUUGAAUUUUGAAUAAAGAUGUAGAAAAAGAGAUCAUCUUGCACCAAGAUAUUAUUCCUCUUCCAAUUAAUACUUCAAACCUUGAGUUUCUUGAUUUUUUCUCCCUUGAUUUGCGGUCGUCAAUCUCCAGUUGUAUUUCUUUAUCUCUCAAUGCGUGGAAUUCCUUCAAAAGUGCUAAUAACUUAUAUUUAUACUUCUCCACAUGUUUGUGUCCAAUACAUGGUUUCUUGUGGGCUUCAAAAUGGUCGAAAAACAAACCCUCUUCCGUCUUUAGGUGGUGCCUGGUUGUGGCGUGGCAACAUUGUAUCAAAUUAACCUAUGGUACUACAGUGUCUAGAGCGCCACAACUCUGCCAGUCUAUUUUUAAAGUGGCACCAAGGUACUACUAUGGUAUGUCAAGGCACUACGUCUUUGUUUGUUUAUGGUUCUGUGGCGAUGAUGCACCCACUCUUCAAUCUUCCAUUAACCACCUUCUCACGCAGAUUCUUCUUUUGUUCAUCUUUGUGUAUUAUAAAUUGACUAUUUUGUCCUUUAUCUUUCCUUUCCCUCCUUUUGAUUUCAAGCCAUUGUUUUUCCACUUUUACAAUCAUUAACUCCACCUCAUCAAACCUAUAAAACAACACUAAUGAACACAUUAAAAACGUUCAAUACACGUAAGAUUUAGCCAACCAAAAUUUUUAUUUCUUUCCUUUAGACGACGCCUGCUAUCUUCGACAUUGCAUCCGGUAGACAACGCACUGUCGAUGAUAACAGAGCUGUUAUUCGAGAUGUCGAUGAGCAACAGCAUCAAGUGCGUGACCACUGCGCAUGUGUUGUAGCCCACGAAUUACCAAUGCCCUGAUGACUGUUGUUAUAUCAACUACAUAAACUCAGAACAUAAAAUUUUCUAGGUAUCAGUACAAGAGAGGUACUUGGAGAUUCUUCCAAAUCCUUUUAUCCAUUCCUCGACCAUGCCUUCAAAUGUAGAGGACAAACUGUUCCACUAUUGAGCUUGUGGUGUUGGAGUAACCCUAUGCAUCCUAAGGAGGUUCUUAUGCUUGUGGCAUGCCAAGGUCUUACACAACUCUCAACGAAUCGUUGAAAAUAGCAGCUUAUGUUGUUGGUUGACUUGCCAUUUUUCAUUAUGUAAAAAAAAAAAAAAGAAAAAAAAAAUUAUCUUAGAGAUAAUCGACAACAAACCUCAACAUAUUCGACGGGAAAACUCAAAUUCAUUGAAAUAUUAAAUCCUAGAGGGUUGAAAUAGAACCUACUGAGAUUACAUCUUCUUUCAUUAAGGGAAAGAAAUCCUUUACUAAAACUAAAAUAAAUAAACAAACUAUUCUCUAAGUGGCUAAUCGUUAACUUCGCUUGUUUGAAUACCGAGUCCUAAUUCCUAUAAAUCUUAUUAGGUUAGGUUCUCAUUUUUCGAGGGGUCUACUGACUUAGGUCUAGACUUAGGCUCUGAUUCAAACUCCUCCUCUGGGUCUGAUUCAGGCUCUAGCUCUUACUUAGGUUCGAGCUCAUGCUCAGGCUCAGGCUCAGGCUCAGGCUCUUGCUAUUGGUGGUUCAAUACGGUUAUGAUAUACUUGUAAUAUCUUCUAAAAUCAAUUGUGUCCCAAUCCUUGGGGCAGAUACAGCUCAUCACUCGUUUCUCUCAUCGAGUACACCACUUCUCUCUAUUGAGGCCUCAUAGUGUUUAUAAAAUGAUAUUGAUAGGUUCGUCUCCCUUUGUAAUUCAUGAAUAGGAAUUCUACAACACACUGAACAAAAUUACGAUCCCAUCUCACUUUUUAAUUCACGUAGUUAUAAUAAUCCGGCCCAUGUCGGAUACGUUGAGCUGGUUAUCCUAGUUGUUUAUAACGUCUUAACCAUGUCUAUCACUUCUAAGUGAAAUUAUGCUUAGUCUUCAUUAAUGAUAUAACAUUACUUACUAUUCUCGCAUGAAAUAUUAUAAUGGUAAAUAAAAUAUUAUUCUUUAAUCGGAAAUGAUUAUGCCGACCAUAAGCAUACGAAAAACAUUGUAUUUGAAACAUUUCAUAAAAUUGAAGCAGAAGAAAUUUAGAAGUCACGCUUACAAUUCAAAACUAGAAUAUAAUAAUUCAUUGUAAACAUUUCCUGAAUUAAACAUACAAAAUUUAUAUCUCAUGCUCGAAAUUAAAUUAAAACAUAAAAUUUCGCAUGGUAUCAUUGGUAUGUUAGAUGUAGUUGAUUGGUGAGUGCUAAAUGCCAAGAACUUCGUUUUAAUUCAUGUUUGUGUUUUUCUUUUUCUUUUCUUUUCUUUUCUUUUUUUUUAAUUGAAAUAAAGAUAGUAUCUUAUAAUAUAGUUGAAUACCCCUAUUAUUACUAAGAAAUAAUUCUUUUUUUAUACAGCGAACAGUUAUGCGGUCACUAUUUACUGUGAACAAUAUUGCCACGGUUAUACUUUAUUGUGAAUAGUGUCGUGCAACAUCAACUACAUGAAUAGCGACUCGAAUUCAUUGUUCACAUAUGGUGAUUUCAAAUUUUAUUUUAUUUUUAUUAACAUUUAUAAGUACAUAUUUCGCUAGCGCACAUAGAUACAAAACUUUAACAAGUUUAUAGAUAGGUAGACACUUGCUGUAAUGUCAAACCACAAUGUCUUAAAUUUUAUAAUCAUAAAAAUCGAGCUGUUACCAAUAUCAUUUCAUAAAAUUAACUUUAAAUGUAAAAAUUAAUAUAAAAUUUGAAUUUUUAUUUUUUUGUAAUUUAAUAUAAUUGAAUAAAAUAAAUUUCAAAUGUAAAUUAAAGAAAUUCAUGACAUUUAAGUGAAAUGAUGUGUUAGACAUGUAAAAAUUACUAUAUCUACUAUUUGUUUGUUAGAAACUUUUACUUGGCUACCUGCUACAGGACGCAUCCACCAUUCGAGCUUGACACAAUCAAACUUGAAAUUUUGUAAAUGGAGUGAAUAUUUUAAAACUUAGUAGGAUACAGGCAGCCCAAAAAUAAUAUUAUAAAAUCAAACGUAAAUUACAAUAUUCCAUACCACCGUUUCAUUAAGGGCAUUUGAUGAUCAAUUUAGUACUCUUACACAUUUUUGUGUAAACUUUUGAGAAAUCCAAAGAAAUCUUGCAUUUAAUUUCAUCACAGGUCCUUAGGUCAAUGAGCAUUUCCUGUAUAAUCAACUAAAAUAAACGGUAUUUUGAAGAUAACAACUUGAACAUAUAGUAACUUAUCUUCGAAUCCUAUGGAAAAACUUGAAUUUAGCUCGAAGAAAAAUACAUUCGCUGAAAUAAUUUUUUAUCUUCGAAAUAAAAUCACUGAAAGAUUCGAUAUACUUUUCGCAGGUGGUCUGUAAAUAUAUGAGAUUAAAAGUUAAUUGUUGUUGGCGCCUUUAGAAAUGAAAAAAGGUGAGUAUUUAUAGCACUUUUAAGAAUCCUAAAUCUUUUAAAUUUUGAAGUAUAAAAUAAUGAAUUUAAAAAUAUAUAAAAUCAAAAUUUUAUCUCAAUCAACUCUAAUAUUUCAAGUGAUUAAGAUAAUGAAUUUAAAAGAAAGAUAAUAAGAAAAGUAUUAUCUCAAUCAUCUUUAAAAUUUCAAUACAAUCAUGAAUUAAAACAAAAUAAUCAAUAAUAUGAUCUAAAUCAUUUUUAAAAUUUCAAUGUAACUAAAAGGAUAAAAGAAANAUAAAGAUAGUAUCUUAUAAUAUAGUUGAAUACCCCUAUCGUUACUAAGAAAUAAGUCCUUAACCAAAAAAUAAUAAUAAUAAUAAUAAUUCUUUUUUUUAUACAGUGAACAAUUAUGCGGUCACUAUUUACUGUGAACAAUAUUGCCACAGGCCCACAGUUAUACUUUAUUGUGAAUAGUGUCGUGCAACAUCAACUACAUGAAUAGCGACUUGAAUUCAUUAUUCACAUAUAGUGAUUUCAAAUUUUAUUUUAUUUUUAUUAACAUUUAUAAAUACAUAUUUCACUAGCGCACAUAGAUAUAAAAUUUUAACAAGUUUACAGAUAGGUAGACUGGUGCUGUAAUGUCAAACCACAGUGUCUUAAAUUUUAUAAUCAUAAAAAUCGAGCUGUUACCAAUAUCAUUUCAUAAAAUUAACUUUAAAUUGAAAAAUUAAUAUAAAAUUUGCAUUUUUUUUUUGUAAUUUAAUAUAAUUGAAUAAAAUAAAUUUAAAAUGUAAAUUAAAGAUAUUCAUGACAUUUAAGUGAAAUGAUGUGUUAGACAUGUAAAAAUUACUAUAUCUACUAUUUGUUCGUUAGAAACUUUUACUUGGCUACCUGCUACAGCACUCAUCCACCAUUCGAGCAAACUUGAAACUUUGUAGACGGAGUGAAUAUUUUAAAACUUAGUAGGAUACAUGCAGCCCAAAAAUAAUAUUAUAAAAUCAAACGUAAAUUACAAUAUUCCAUACCACCGUUUCAUUAAGGGCAUUUGAUGAUCAAUUUAGUACUCUUAACACAUUUUUGUGUAAACUUUUGAGAAAUCCAAAGAAAUCUUGCAUUUAAUUUCAUCACAGGUCCCUAUGUCAAUGAGCAUUUCAUGUAUAAUCAACUAAAAUAGACGGUAUUUUAAAGAUAACAACUUAAACAUAUAGUAUCUUAUCUUCGAAUCCUAUGAAAAAACUUGAAUUUAGCUCAAAGAAAAAUACAUGCGCUGAAAUAAUUUUUUAUCUUCGAAAUAAAAUAACUGAAAGAUUCGAUAUACACGAAUGAGUGUUUUCACAUGUGGUCUGUAAAUAUAUGAGAUUAAAAGUUAAUUGUUGUUGGCACCUUUAGAAAUGACAAAAGGUGAGUAUUUAUAGCACUUUUAAGAGUCCUAAUUCUUUUAAAUUUUGAAGUAUAAAAUAAUGAAUUUAAAAAUAGAUAAAAUUAAAAUUUUAUCUCAUAAUAUUUCAAGUAAUUAAGAUAAUGAAUUUAAAAGAAAGAUAAUAAGAAGAGUAGUAUCUCAAUCAUCUUUAAAAUUUCAAUAUAAGUCCUAUUAAGCUUAGUCUUCUUACAAUGCUCGCAUGAACUAUUAUUAUAAGGGUAAAUAAAAUAUUAUUCUUUGAUUGGAAAUUAUUAAGCCAAUUAUAAGAACACGAAAAAUAUUGUAUUUGGAACAUUUCAUGAAAUUGAAGCAAAAGAAAUUUAAAAGUCAUGCUUACAAUUUAAAACUAUAAUAUAAUAUUUCAUUUAAAACAUUUCUUGAAUUAAACAAAAAAAAAAUUAUAUCUAAUGCUCGAAAUUAAAUUAAAAUAUAAAAUUUCACGUAUUACCUUUGGUCCGUCAAAUUUCUAAAUGCGAAGAACAUAUUUUAAUUCAUGUUUGUGUGUGUGUGUGUUUUUUUUAUAAAGAUAGUAUCUUAUAAUAUAGUUGAAUACCCCUAUCAACACUAAGAAAUAAGAUAUAAGUUCUUAAACCUCCUCCCCCCCCCCCCCCCCCCCCCCCNNNNNNNNNNNNNNNNNNNNNNNNNNCACCCCCACCCCAAAUAAAAUAAAAAAUAAAUAAAAUAUCUUUUAUUUUAAUACAGUGAACGAUGCCACGGUCACUAUUCACUGUAAACAAUGCCAUGGUUAAUGUUCAUUGUGAAUACUGUCGCACAUAUCACCCACAUGAAUAGUGAGUCGAAUUCAAUGUUCAAGUGAACAAUAACUUCAAAUUAUAUUUUAUUUUUAUCAGUGUUAUAAAUACGCGUAUAUGCUCGAUGCAUUUUCUAAACGCCCGUAUAUGGGAUAUUUACAUGAUAAUAGUCAUGGGCAGAUCGAGGCCCGGAGGCCCGGGCUGGAUGGGCUACAACAUGUGCCAGCUCCAGUCCAGAUCCAGUUGUCACCUAUUUUUUUAUGUGGUAAUUACACAAUAGCCUACCAUUAAAAUCAUGAAUUCUGAAACCAGAUGGGAACUUUAAUCUUUCUAAAAUCAGAUAUUAGCAUAUUUAAAUAUUAAUAUUAAAUAUACAUUUUUUUAUCCCAAACCCUAUCAUUUUCUCCCUCUCCCCAGUUCGGCAAUCCUCACUCUCUCUCUCACCGUCUUCUCUCCCUUGCCCCAAUCACCCACGGCGCCAUCACCACCCACGACGCCAUCACCACCCAUGGCAUCCCCGGCGCGAAGAAGCAUGAAUCGCCGGCCAAAUAAUGCAGACCAUCGUCGCCAUGAGGAUCUGCGAUGUAUCCGAGCUUCGCAAAGGCACCAAUCGGUGGGGUUUUUUUUUUAUUUUUGGUAAAUGGUUGUUGGACUGUGGGCUGCGGCGGUGGAUCUGGCCGUGAUUGACUAUUGUGUUGUGUGUUGUGGUUGUGCAGUGUCGUGGGCUUGUGAUGUGGUGGUAUUGUGUGUGUACUGUGGGCAGUGGUUGUUCAUGGUGGUGGUGAUGUGUUUGUGGUGGGUUGUAUGUACUGGUGUUGUGGCUGAGUGGAGGUGUUGAUACGGGCGGUGGGAUGGUGGUAGAGUCCAGUGGCAGCUUGGGGAUUUUUUCUGGUGGGGGCGAUGCAAUGGUGGUGGUUUUUGUGGGGGGCGGUACGUUGGUUGUGACGAUUUUGGUUGUGCUGGUGGUGUUGUGUGGGGGUGACGACGGCGGUUUGAGGUGGUGUUGCGUGGGGGCGACGACGGCGGUUUGAGGAGGUGGUGUUGUGACCAAUCAUUUAGUGAUUUGUGAUUCCCAAUUGUUGUGUUGGUGUGUGACGGGCGAUGGCGAUGACGAUGAAAAUUGUGUGAUCUAAAAAAAAUUGUGACCAAGAAAUAUUGUGUGAUCUAAAAUAUUAAUAAUUUGUGACUUUCUUUUAAGUUGUGACCUGUAAUAUUUGUGAUCUGUUACUUAUAAAUUUUUGAUUUGUGACCCAUAAAUUUUUUGAUUUGUGACCGAGAAAUAAGUUGUGACCAAUAAUUUGAUAAGUCGUAACUAAAAAUUAAUUGUGACUCAUAAAUUUUUUAAUUUGUGACCUAUGAACGAGCUGUGACCUACAAAAUUUUUGAAUUGUGAUCGUAAAAUAAUUUUUGACAAAAUUUCUUAUUCGUGACCAAAAAAUAAUAAGUGACUAAUUAAAUUGUUAAUUUGCGAUCAAAUUAGAUGUGACCAAUAACAAUUUUGAUUUCGUGACCUAUAAAUUUUUUAUUCGUGAUCGAAAAUAAUAUGUGACCUAUAAAAUUUGUGUUUGUGACUUAUAAUUUAUUGAGUUGUGAUCGAAGAAUUAAUCAAUGACCUAUAAAAUUUGUGUUUGUAACUUAUAAUUUAUUGAGUUGUGAUCGAAAAAUUAAUCAGUGACCUAUAAAAUUUUUGAUUCAUGAUCGAAAAAUAAUGUGAUCUAUAAAAAUUUUAAUUUGUGAUUGAAAAAUAAGUUGUGACCAAUAAUAUGAUAAGUCGUGACUAAAAAUUAAUCCGUGACUAAUUAUUUUUCGAUUUGUGACCAAUAUACAAACUUUGACUGACAAAUUUUUUGAAAUGUGAUCGUAAAAAAAUUUGUGACAUAAAAUUUUUGAUUUGGGACCAAAAAAUAAUAUGUAACUAAUUACAUUAUUAAUUUGUGACCAAAUUUUAUAGAUCUGUGACUUAAAUAUAUUUACUUAAUAAAAUAAUUAAUUAACUAAUUAAAUUAUAAAUAAUUUUUAAUAAAAAUCUGAUUUUAGAAAUUUGAAACUUGUUUUCUUAUUUUUGAAAUGUGCCAUAAUUAAUUUCUUAGUUAUGAAAUUUUCCCUUUUUUUAUUGGGAAAAAUUCACAAAUCCUUCUUUAAGUAUAGAGACUUCACAAAUCAAGUUUUAAGUUUACAAAAUGCAAAAGUCAGGUUUCUUAGUUAAUUAAUUAAAAAUAUUUAUUAACUAAAUAUAGCAAGGUCACAAUUAUAUAAUUAAUGGUCACAUAUACAUAAUUAUAGGCCACAAUUUAUUUAUUAAUUACAUAUUAUCAAAUUAAUUGGUCACAGAUUAUUUCGAUGUCACAAAUCAAAAGUUUUUUAGGUUACAGUUUAUUUCGUUGGUCACAGAUCAGAAAAUUAUAGGUUAUAGUUUUUCUAUCAGUCACAUAUUUUCAAAUUUGUUGGUCACAUAUUAUUUUUCGAUCCCAAGUUAUCAAAAUUUUAGGUCACAAUCUACCAAAUACUUGGUCACAAACACCAAAUAAUUGGUUACAGACCUCCGCCACCAACACCACUGGUCCACUGCCAAUUGCUCGUCACCAUCACCAUAGUUUAAUUAUAGUUGGUCACAAACGUCAAAAUAGUUGGUCACAAAUUCCAAACACCCACACCACCGAGCUCGAUCCAGCACCACCAAUAACAACACAACACACCACAAUCUACAUCUGCACCACAGUUGGUCAAACACCACACACCGAGAGUGCCACCAACACCACCGCAAUCACAGCGUACACACACCACCACCGUAUCCAACCACACACUACCACCAACACAAGGAGCAUCAACACCACCACCACACCCCAAUGUCGCCAUUGUUGAAAACCGCAAAAAUCCCAAACCACCACCACCACCACUACUACACUUUGAGGUCGCCCCUGCUGAAAACCAUAGCAGCCCUAAACCACCAUUACCACCACCAUAAGCAACAUCAAAACCACCACACACCCUUCAACAUACCCGUGCAAGUUUCCCAACCUGAAACUCGCUGAUUCACUCCUACACCUGUUCGAACUCGCCCAACUCACUCUGGAACUCAUUCGACCUCUUCUUCAAGUUGAAAUCCUACCUACCAUCCUACCCACCCGGCACCACCAUCGCAUCCACCACCACUCCAAAAACUAACAAACGCACCAAUACACUUCCACACACUCUGAAAUUACACAAAUCAACAAACAUUUUUCUGUCGUGGCAGCGCUGCUACAUUGUCGUCAACCAGCAUUGCCGCACAACGUAGCCACGACGGCGCCACGCAUCACCUCAGUGAGCACUAACUUCAAUGCUCACAGCGGCACUCAGAUCAACAUUUGACGAUUUUGCAGCAACCACGACAUCGACGAUCGUCGUGAAACCAACGCUCGUCGUGGCACCUGUGCUAGUUGCGGUGUCGCGCGAUGCUGUGAGCUCGUUCAUUAGUUUGGUUGUUUCUUUGCUACAGGAAUUCGAGGGCAUGUUCCUUAAAGACAUGUCUAGUGAGUUACCACCCAUUAGAUGCAUCGAUCAUCAAUUUGAUUUUGUACCUGGAGCUAUUAUACCAAAUAGACCAACCUAAGAAGUAAUUCAGAUGAGACAAAUGAGCGUCAAAGACAAGUUGAGGAGUUGACGGGCAAAUCAGAAGUGAAAGUCAUUUUCCAUCAGAUGGCUGUUCCUGUAACUCUACUCUUGACUUGGAUUAUGUAUCCAAAAAGGUUGGAGACGAGAGGAAAAGCAUGAAUUCAUGUGCGGUGCCGUACUAUUUAAGCCUGAAAAUGAUGGAACGUGGAGAAUGUACAUUGAUUGCAAGAUAGUCAAUAAUAUUACAGUGAAUUAUCGUCAUCCCAUACCUAGAUGAGAUGAUAUACUUGAUGAAUAGUAUGAAUCAUAUAUUUUUAGUAAAAUAAAUCUUAAAAGUCGCUAUCACCAAAUUAGGAUGAAAGAAUGCGAUGAAUGAAAAUUUGCUUUGAAGACUAAUGCUGACUUAUAUGAAUGGCUAGUUAUGCCAUUUGAUCUUACUAAUGCACCUAGUACUUUUCUGAAAUUAAUAAACCAUGUUUUGUAUGCAUUCCUAGGGAAAUUCAUCAUAGUAUAUUUUGAUGACAUUCUAGUAUAUAGUAAGCGUUUAGAAGCAUAUUAUGGCUUUGAGAUGUGCGCAUGUUAAGUUCCUUAGUUACUUUUGAAAUAAUUGAUGGUGUAAAUUAAGAGCCAAACUGUUGCUUUCUACUACAUGCCUCCCACAACAAAUGGAAAAAUCGAGAUAGUUAAUAGAAUACAAACUUAGCUUUUCACACUAUAUAAUCAAUAAAAAUUUGAGAAGUUGGGAGGAUUUUUUACCAGAAUUUGCAUACAAUAGGGCCGUGCAUUUUACUACUUAUUAUUCUCAUUUUGAAAUUGUGUAUAGUUUUAAUCUACUAAUUCCUUUGAAUUUAAUUUAUUUACCUUUUUAUAAAAUAAGUAAUUUAGAUGGUAAGGAGGCUAAAUUGGUAUGGUUAAUCCAUGAGAAUAUUCGACUUCAAAAUGAAAAGAAGAAUGAACAUUAUAAUUCUCAGGCUAAUAAAAGAAGAUGUGUGACAUUUGAACUAGAUGAAUGGGUUGGGGUACACAUAUAGAAAGAAGGUUUUCCAGCACAAUGAAGUUCUAAAUUGCAUUCUAGAGGAGAUGGACCAUUCAAGUACUUGAGAAAAUUAAUGACAAUGCCUACUAGCUAGACCUUUCGGUGAGUAUAAUGUGUUUGCUACUUCUAAUGUUGCUAAUCUCUGUUUCUCUUUGAUGCAGGUUAAGAUUUGAGGUCCAAUCCUUUUGAAGAUGAAGUGAAUUAUGAUAAUCAUGAAAGACAAGCCCGCAAAGUUCAUUGUAUUAUCUAGAGGGAUCGAUAACGAGGUCAAGAGUAAAGAAGAUCAAGGAGCCAUGCAAGGAUUCAUCUAAGCUAAGUGGGCCAAGAGUUCAAGUGCAACAAGCAAGACACAAAGUUUCAAGAUAGGUGUAAAAAAAGAGCCAACGUUAGUGUAGUUUAUUCAAGUUAAAGGAAAAUAAGAAGCAUGUAUAAAACUUUCAACUCAAUUAUCGAAUUUUUGUCCAUAAGUACAAUCCAAGAGUGUUUUUCGAUUCUUCAAAUUUUUAUUAAAUGACAUUGACAAAUUAUUAGUGUCAAAUUCCACUGUCUGUUUUAGUGUUUUUCCCCCUAUUUCAGAUGGUUUAAAGGAAUUUUCAUUAUUUUGCAGUAUUCAGUUUAUAGUUUCCUAGUUUAUUUGGAUUUGUUUAUAGAAUCGAGGUUUCGAUUAGUAUUUAUUUUGAGUCUGCCCAUACAUGACCUUAUUCAUUGUACAAAGAACAACACAUUAUUUUGAGAUAUUAAUUAUAAAGUGAGG